UAACUGACCUUUAUUAGAAAACGGGCGAUUUUCUUCAUGAAAUCCGUGCCGGGUUUAGGCCUCAUGGCGGUGCGCGCGUUUUUCGGACGAUAUAAUUUACAAAAUUAACAACAAUUUACUUUGCACAUUGUCGGAUAACUCUGGUUCUUAUCUUUUUAUUUUGAAAUGCGUAAACGUUCUAAAAAUAUACUGAUAGCUUGAAAAAGCACAACAAAACACCAUGGCCGUGCGAGGUGAACAGACAUCGCUCUACUUGAGCCGAUUCUUCUGGUUUAUGCAAGUGGAGGGAAGCAGUGGCGUAGAUGAAUCGAUUUUUCUUACGACUAAUUAUAGUUCUCAAACAAACGUCGGGGAGUGUGUUUGGGGCUUCUGGUUGCGUGCGGAUCACGCGACCGGUCAUCCUGACAAAUAAAUACGACUCGGCACUUCAGAGACCAUUCGCAACUCGUCAAAACGAAGUCUAUGGUCUUACCGUUGUCGGUCGUUACCACUCGUUACCGCCUGAAUUGACUUAAUACUGACCUGAUCUGAGGAAUAGGAACGGCGGCUGUGCUUCCGUCUGGAGGCGGAUCUCUCAUGACGGUGGCGGUGGCGUUUCUUGGACGUGGGGGAUCGGCGGUGGCUGCGCUUGUAACGACGCUCUGCACUGGAGCCCCGCUCGUACUGACGCGACCUAUGCGCCCUCUGGCUGCUGCAAUACCACAAGACCAAACUCAACAUUGAAAGAAUCCAAAAAAGUCGGGUUUGCAAUUCGUGCAAUUUUUUGGGUGAUGAUUACAACGUGACGUCAUCAAAUUUCAGGUGGGGAAUAAAACCAAAACACAAAUUCAUCAAUCGUUUAUUUGAUAAACACACUACAUUACAAAAUUUCAAUCCCUACUCUAAGUUGUAUUUCUUUUUAACGUCAUCCUCCAGACACCAGCAGUAUUUAUUUAACAAAGGACCUUCAUCAGCACACUUCUUCCACUGGGCGUAUUGUUUCAAACAUUUACCAAGAUAUGCCUUCGAGACUUCCACCACGUGACCAUUAUUCCUCAUAUAGUUCAUGAACUCCUCGACCACGGUCGUCCUUUUGUUCACGUUCCCGUGGAUCAACUUCAAAAAUGCCGGUAGAAGUUCCUGUCGCAAUUCCUUAGUGUUAUAUUUCCUAUUUGGAGUAAUCGCUAUGAACUCCUUCCGUUUAUUAAUAAUAAUAUGUCCAUUAGUAAUCAUCGCUAGAGGUCGAAGGUGUCUGUCUAUAGCAUCAUCAACAUUCGAGCGAUCUUUAUUGUACCAAAUACACCCAAUAGACCUCGGUUUCAUUCUAUUAGUCUUAGUUUGCAUAUCUUGAUCAAACUCGUCCUUCAACAACUUCAAUUUCUGCUUGUGAGACUCUGGGGACAAUUUCGCCGACUCUUCGUCAUCCACUUCGUCGUCGCUAAGAUGACCAUGUGGCACGAAAAAGUCAUUAUCAACCUCGUAAUCAUCAUUCUCUGCUUCGUUCUCUUUUUCUUCAUCGUCCGAACCAUUCAAAGACUCUCCUUGCUCCUCCUCCUCCCAAUCGUCGUCUGAAUCAACCUCAUAGUCAAAGAAACACUUAUCUUCUCCAAAAGGUCGUCUUGGAUUAACAACGGCGCUCUUCUUCCGCCAUGUACCGUAAUACGGAGGUCGUUUAUUCUCGUGGAACUUCAAAAA
This is a long non-coding RNA of Zophobas morio, 1674 nucleotides long. RefSeq lists it as uncharacterized. The transcript has 2 exons. The record is from RefSeq and is a predicted model, not a curated record. NCBI's taxonomy places the organism in Eukaryota, Metazoa, Arthropoda, Insecta, Coleoptera, Tenebrionidae.